GCUGAGUCCUGAGGACAGGCCACUGCAGCCCGCUCCAGUGAGGAUGGUCGUGUGAGGGCUGUGACGAGGGAGGGGCAGCCACAGUGCCUUGCUUUCCUGGGGGUCUGGGGAAUGCACUGUGCUUGGCAAAAGCCCUCGGUGGCCUUGGAGAGCAGGAAACGAAGAGCCUUGGUGGGGAGAAGGUAGAGGCGAGGUGGGGCUUGCUGCCCCCAGGCUGAGGCUGACCUCCACGCUGGGGUGGGUGGCUGCAGGCCUCGGCUGGCAUUCAGCAGGAAUGUGUGACGGAAUGAUGGUCAGGGCCUGGUCACAGCUGCCUUCCCCCAUUUUCCAUCAUGGCCAUCAGAUUCAAGGUCAGUGUGGCCAGCGGUGGCCCUUUGUGAUGGCUGGUGAGUGGGACUGGGGCACCUUGGGAUGGCCACUCAGGCUCCUGUCCAACCCUCAGUCCCAGCCAUCUUGUGGCAUGGACAGGUCUCCACUCAGGGCCCUUCCAGAAGCUUCCUGGGGUGGGACUUGCAGGCCAGUGCAUCAGGAGGCACACACACAGAGGACCUUGUCCUGAAUGACAAGAGGACUUGAGUGCCCAGGACCAGCUGGUCAGGAAGGAUGCACAGAUGCCUGGGGCAGCAGAGGGAGAUGUGACCAUGGGGAGGAGGAGGAGGAAGCAGGAGGGGAGGUAGCCACACCGACCAGCUCCUCCCGGUGGGUGUGGGGCCCAGAACUUCCCCCACUGUAGAUGAGGUGAGUGGACACAGCAGGUGGUCUGCCAGAAGCCACCAGCACAAUGCCCUGCCCCCAUUGGCAUGGCCCUCCCACAAGCACAUCAGGAAGGGAUGUCUGCUGGCCUGUCCAUGCCCAGAGGCCCCAGGCCUUCCCCUUUCAGGUUAGGAAUUGGCAGCCUAGAGAAGCAGGGGAGGUCCUAGUGCCCCCCAGCCGUGGAGACCAGGCCCAGCUGGUCUGGGAGCUCAAGUCCUUUGGACCCUGGGAAGCGCAGCCCCCCUUCCUUCUGAGAUGGCACUGUGGGAACUCAAGGCAGGCGGGGGGCGGGGCUGGAUAGAAAGCUCAGUGGGAAGACGGAUGGAUGGGUCAAUGAAGUGACAAAAAGUGGAUGACAGACAGUGGGUAAGUGAGGGCUGAGUGG
Molecule: long non-coding RNA, 1138 nt
Filed under: Marmota monax (woodchuck)
Lineage: Eukaryota; Metazoa; Chordata; Mammalia; Rodentia; Sciuridae
Source: RNAcentral